CUGGUAUGCACUGGUGCUACUGAUUUCUCCCUUCUGAAGAACUAUCAUGCCAUUCAUUUGGUGUGGUAGGGAAUCAGGACUGUUACUUUGAAAAAAUUAGAGUGUUUAAAGCAGGCUCACGCUUGAAUACAUUAGCAUGGAAUAAUGAAAUAGGACGUUGAUCUUAUUUUGUUGGUUUCUAGGAUUGACGUAAUGAUUAAUAGGGAUAGUUGGGGGCAUUAGUAUUCAAUUGUCAGAGGUGAAAUUCUUGGAUUUAUUGAAGACUAACUACUGCGAAAGCAUUUGCCAAGGAUGUUUUCAUUAAUCAAGAACGAAAGUUAGGGGAUCGAAGACGAUCAGAUACCGUCGUAGUCUUAACCAUAAACUAUGCCGACUAGGGAUCGGAUGAUGUUAAUUUUUUAAUGACUCAUUCGGCGCCUUACG
RNAcentral lists this ribosomal RNA (423 nucleotides) under uncultured Glomeromycotina. RNAcentral's name for it is "SSU rRNA". It matches the Rfam family "Eukaryotic small subunit ribosomal RNA", at positions 670 to 1092 of the family's 1831-position model. The record is from RNAcentral. Lineage: Eukaryota; Fungi; Glomeromycota.